GUAGGUGGCAAGCGUUGUCCGGAAUUAUUGGGCGUAAAGCGCGCGCAGGCGGUUCUUUAAGUCUGAUGUGAAAGCCCACGGCUCAACCGUGGAGGGUCAUUGGAAACUGGGGAACUUGAGUACAGAAGAGGAAAGCGGAAUUCCACGUGUAGCGGUGAAAUGCGUAGAGAUGUGGAGGAACACCAGUGGCGAAGGCGGCUUUCUGGUCUGUAACUGACGCUGAGGCGCGAAAGCGUGGGGAGCAAACAGGGAUUAGAUACCCUGGUAGUCCACGCGUAAACGAUGAGUGCUAAGUGUUAGGGGGUUUCCGCCCCCUUAGUGCUGCAGCUAACGCAUUAAGCACUCCGCCUGGGGAGUACGGCCGCAAGGCUG
Molecule: ribosomal RNA, 372 nt
Filed under: uncultured organism
Description: partial 16S ribosomal RNA
Rfam family: Bacterial small subunit ribosomal RNA
Source: RNAcentral